AAGUAAUAAUUCGAUCCAUUUAAAAUAAUUUUGAAAUAUUAUAUUUUAAUUGACAAAGAAAAAGUGUUAUAUGAAUGAAGGCUACUGUGGAAGAAUCCUCCAAUAAUUCAUAUUCGCGUGACUAAGACUGCUCGUGAAGAAAAAAAAAAGUUAGUGAAAAGAAAAGUAAAGGCCGUCACUUCACGGCCUGUAACAGCCGUUAAAGUUCCAUAACGCCCGGUACAAAAACAAAAUUUUAUCACCGUUAUUUCAGGGCCUUAACAGCCAGGACCCCUUCAAAACCAGUAAUAUUUAAACCAUGAUCAUAAUAUCCCUUGGGUCGACUUCCAUCCCCCUCGUCAUUACACCAGGUUCAGAGUAGAUCUCCCUGUUGCCUCUGAAUUCAAUGUCAGCCUGCUUACAGUAUGCAACUCCUGCCACAAUGCAAGUAGACACAUCUCCAUUAUUUACUAACUUUAGAUAUCAUAAGAUCCAAAUUGCCCAAACUCAAGAAAAUUAUCCUUCAAAUGCAAGCAGAACCCAUAUUAGUUCAAAGUAGUUCUGCAUCGAUCCACUGGCAUCCUUUCAAGCAAAUAUUUGAAAUAAGCAAGUUCUGUUAAACCAAUAAAUCAUAACUACAGAAAACUCAAAUGAAUACUUGCUAGUGUGCAGAUUUAAAAGUUGUCUUUUACAUCUUAUCCACAAAAUACAGUUAAUAAAUCCCCACACUAUCACCACAGACCACAGAUCGAAUGAGAAAGCAUCCACCCUCCUCCCCCUUCCCUCUCUAAAUUAAAUUUCACAAGCUUNNNCAACCACCUAUGUGCACCCAGGCCAAAAACAAGCAAAAAAACUCACGUGCAUGGAAUAUCACACUAAAUUAUUUUGUUGCCAAAUUAAUUUAACUUGAAACAUAAAAGAGCAAUCAACUGACCUCGAGGGAGAGGGACAUAUUAUUCAACCUUAUCUUCCACAUCCUUUUGGUGCUUCUUAUCCAUUUCCCUCAUAGUAUUCAGCCUGAUGAUCUGUGAUCCAGAAAAUAGGGUUUUACAAUGGAUUCUGUAAAAUUGGAAAAAAGUUUAGACCUAGAGGAGAGUAUUUCUCCUUUUAUAUGUUUUCUUUUGUCUGCUAGUGACGUGUAACAGAAUGUACGUCAUUGGGCCACAUGUCCCUGUCACGUUCAUAUGGACGUACGAGGAAAUCAGAUCGCUGCCCCAUACGUAACGGCCUCUGAUUCUCCCCGGGCACGCAUGCGGAUGGUCCCACAAGGCGAAUGGGCUGAACUCCUUCUUGGUUUCGAGCUGGGCCGGAAGAUAAGGUUAAGACUAGGCCCAGAGGGGAUCUGUUCAUUGGGCCGAAAGAGCUGGGCCGGCCUUAUUGAAGAAUCUGACUGGAGCCCGGUCUUUAAGCGGAGCGGGCUGGAUCUGGCUCUUGGAGGAGACUUAGAAGCCUUCAGAUUAUGGGCUGUCCUAAUGGGCCUGACCUUAGACCGGGGCGAAGAAAUCCAGCGGUCAUCAAUUGCCCUUUUAUCUCCUUGUCAGUUAUUGCCCGACUGAAGAGGGGGUAAAUACCGAGAGUCAUCAUGACCGUGCCGCCCAAGGACAAAACUGUUCAAAACAUCUUUUCGGCUCUUUAUUGUUUCAAAUUUCACUUCCCGUCAGUCUCCCCAGAACGUUGGCUCUUCUCUGUUCUACUGCUCUCUUUGCUUUCCUCUGCUCAUUUGCCCUAAUCACUUUUCAGGUACGCCUCUUCUUUUUCAUGGAUAGUUCUAGUCUCCCCGAUGUCGUCAACCAGGAGUCUAGCAUCACCCCGUCUAACAUUAGGAAUUUCAUUUCUAGGGAAUACCUGGAUACCCCUCUUUAUCACAUCCGGGCUCCUUACCAAAAUGAGAGGAUCGUUCUUCCUGAUCCUUCUCCCCCUGGCCUAAUCAACCCUCAAAGAGACGUCAGUCUAAUCUUCUUCAUCAAACAGAGGGAGUACGGUCUGUCCUUCCCCUUUUCUCCUUUCUUCAAAGAGGUCUUCCAGUAUUUCGAGAUUACCCCUCGAAUGCUAACCCCUAACUCCGUUCUUUUCAUGUCUUGCUUUGAAUCUGUGUGUCUGAGCUGGGGGUUUACACCCACGGUUCACCUGUUCGUCAGCUUCUUCAGGUUAGUCAAAGCGAGCCAGAAAUUUUAUUACUUUGCCCCUCGCGGAGGGUUGUCCAUUUUCACGGGUUAUAAAGACUCCAUCAAGGGCUGGGUAGAGGGGUUUCUGGUGGUGGAGUUGAAGAAGAAUACGGGGUUGGCUUGGGAGCUCGGUCUUGACUGGGAGGAUGUCUCUCUGGGUUGCAACGACCUGCCCCAGUUGAGCCUCACUGAGCAGGUCGGAUUCCUUCGACUGACUUCUGUGGAUAGGAAGUAUGACGUCGAAAAGUGCUUGUAAGCGUCCAACCUUAGGGAUAUUAAGGACGCGUGUAUCUUAUUCUAUUUGCCUGUGUUAGUUUUUGCUUACGCGACCUUUGCUCAGAACUGUUCUGAUUUGCUUUGAUUUUUAAUUUUGUAGCCUCCGAGGUGAAGAUGGAUCAGAUUUCCCAAGAAUCUCAUACUGUCCCGGGAGAGCAUGGACAAUGCUCUGGAUGCUCUCCUGGCUGGGCAAUCUGUAAGGGAUGCUACUCAGAGGGUGGCCGAGGUUAUUUCUUCCAGAUCGGUUACCCGACCUCCUCCUCCUCCGGUCUCCUCACAAGCUCCUAGACCAAGCUCCCGACGUAGUAAGUCGUCUCGGCCCUCUAGACGCAGUAGAUCGAGCUCGGCUCACUAGUCCUCUCAAGCCCCCCGGCCUCGACGUUCUUCUACUGAGGGGGCGGAAGAGACUCCAAGAAUUAUUUCGGAAGUGGCUGAGGACGCCGGGCUGGCGAGGACGGAUCCCGCCCUUCCUCCUGUGGGCGCUUUUGAUGUGGGGCUUGAAGUUCCCGCUGUUGCUGAGGAGGAGGUCCCCAAGGUGGGGUUCGAGGCCCCCAUUACUGAAGAGGAAGCUCAAGGAAAAAGUAGGCAGGUUAUUCUUGUAGACGAAGAUGUCCAAGAGGCCCCUAUCGGAGAUGUUGGAUCCGGCCCUGCUAGUGAAGGAGGAGUCACAGAGAAGGCUGGGGACAAGCGCCCUGCCUCCCCCGAAAUGUCUGCCCCAGCUCCCGCUCGAAAGAAAUCCAAGGCUUCCAAGGGAUCAGCUCCAGCUCUCCCCCCUAUUGGAAAGAAAAAGGAAGCUUCCAAGGGAUUAGCUCCAGCUCUCCCCCCUCUUGAAAAGAAGAAGGAUGUUCCUGUGAUACCCCUGUUGUCUGCUCCUGACAACGACAUUUUGAACGCUGAGGACAUCACUCAUCAAACUCCGGCGAGCGUUGUAGCGGAGAUCUUGCGGGAGCGGAUGUUCGGGGGAAUCACAGAGGCUUCGGACUCUCGUCUGCUUGCUUUGACCGGCCAUUUGGCUGGCUUCACACGAGAGCAGGCAGCCUUCCGGUCUCUACCUCGAGGAGAGCUCGGAGAUAGGAUUAGGGAGAUGCUCCUGAUGGUAAGUUGUUCGUUCCGAUUUCUUCUCGUAUUCUAAUUUUCUUUGUUUCUUUGUUCUGACAGUUUUCUCUUUUUGUACUAGGUGAUGGGCCUCUUCAUGGAGGUGGACGCUCGUGACCUCUCUCUUCGAGAAUCUGUUGAUCGCCGGAUCGAGGAGGCGCAUCUAGAGGAGAACCUGUCUGCGACCAGUGAUGCCAAGAGCAACCUUGCGGCAGCUCGAGAGCAUUCUAGGUCCCUAGCGGCGGAGUUGUCUCACGCUCGGAGGGUUCUUAAAGAGUCUGACGAGAGGGCAACAGCUGCUGAAGUCCGCUGUGAAGAAGUCCUGAAGCAGCUGUCCUCCACGGUAGAUGCCCUUCGUGAAAAGGACGAGGCUAUAAACCAGAGGGACGAGGCCCAGCGUCAAUAUGAGGCCUUGAAGGCUGAUUUCGAGGGAGUCCGGGCUCGUCUUAACAAGGUGGAGGUCCAGAAGGAGGAGGCACUAGCUCGGGUCGAGGUUCUCGAGCAGGAGUUAAGUAAAAGUUCGGAUCGUAUCAGAGACCUGGCUUCAGCGGCAGAGGAGUCUAAACUUCAUAAUCAAAAGCUCUGCCAUGAGGUCAGGACUUUGGAGCAUAAAUGCUCAGCCCUGCUCGAAGAUGCCAGACUCGCUGAAGACAGGGUCCAGCUAGAGUGUGAGAGGCGUCUGAUGGAGUAUAAAGAGUCUCCCGAGUUGAAGAAAGAGAUCGAGCAGGCCUGUGAAGCUCGCCUCCAGAUUUUCAAGAGUUCUUCUGAUUAUAAAGCCGAGGUUGCUGAGGCCUGCGAGAGGCGACUUGGGAAGUUUAAAGCUUCUGAUGAGAUGAAGACGGCCGUAUGGAACAAAGGCUUUCGCAUAUUCGUCUCUGGAUAUAACCGGGGCCUAAGGACAGCCAGAUACGCUCCCUCUACCCCGUUGGCUGAACUCCGAGCUAUAGAGGAAGACUCUGAUGGUGAGGAGGUGCUUUACGGGGAGGACGACAGGCCUUUGCCCAAAGGGGCUCCUCGUACUGCCACCGAACCUUCUGAGGCGGGCUCCGAGUCAGGGGAUGAAGACGCUGGGCCUCCAAGGCAAGAGAUUGUGCCCUUCACAGGGGCUGAGGGGUCUGUGCAGGAGGGUGCCAGACCUCUCCCAGAUGAUAAUGUAAAUAGUGCCAGUGUAGAUAAAGAUAGAGUAGAUGAUAACGUACCUAGGAGUAUUAGUCCUUUAAGGACUGUUUUUCCUCCAGCCCGUGCGGAUAAUCAGGAUAGGCUGUAAUGUAGUUUGUAAUAAUUACUUUUUCUUUUUAAUUUAAUUUUCAAAUUAUGUUGGUAUUUUGAGUUAUUUUGAUGGUUGUUUAUUUCUCUGGCUUUAUUCGUACUUGAGCUGUUCCUACCUCUGCUUGUUCUUCCCUCCUUAUCAGGCUACUUACUCUGUUUAGACAGUCUGACUUGUUUAAUUUUAAAGAUUUGAGAAUGAGACACUUAAACUGUGCCUAAUAAACUUGGUAAGGAAUCAACUAGAUCGUCUUUCAUUUCUUGCCCCUCAGUCAAUCAGGGCUGAAAUCUUAGCCAGAGACUUAGUAUCUGACUUAUAAUCUUUUCUAUUUCACAAGGGCGUUCUUAUCUAUAAAUUUUCUCCGAGCUAGAUUUGCCUUAAGGCCAAGAUCGUCAAGCUGUACUUUUAUAGAUUUCGACCUCAUUAGGUCUUCACUAUGAGCUCGGUUUUUAACAGCUGACUUAAUGUCUUCAACUUUUCUUUCCAUUAUUUCACAUGUACGAGCUUAGGCGUGUAGCCCUUUAUAACCAAAGCGAAAUGUAUCACGUACCUUUUAAAAUGGUGAGCAGGAUUGGCCUCCUUGUUUUUAGUUCUGUUCGGACGAGAACUGAAGCUGGGGUCUUAUCUGCUCACGCCAUUGGAUUUCUCCUUGGGUUUCCCCUUUACCUCCUUAGCAGUUAUUCCAUGGCUGGUGAGGGGGUAAAUACUUGGGCUCCAUUAAUGACCGUGCAACUCAAAAACAGUUUUUGUCAAAACGUCCUUUACUUGCGUUAUUUCUUUAUCUCUUUACUUUGGUGUUUAAAUGUAUGGCGAUCUGGAGAUGUGUUCUUGAUGAUGAAUGAUAUUUCACCUCGGCCUGUGCCUCAUCAUUAUUUUCUACUCAGACUGUCUUCUGGCUUUGUCAAUUUUACUUAUUUGGUGGACCAGGCUGGCUCUACUGGGAUCUUGCUAGUCGAACUGACCCGGGCUAAGAGCUCGGAGUCUGGUUAAGCUUCUGACUUGCGAGUUUUUCUUAUUCCCAUGAGGGCAUUUCUGUUUUUGACUCACGAUCUCGUCCUUGUUGCGAGCUCGGAUACAUAAUAUCUUGUUCUUCUGGAGAUAACCUUCUGGCAAUCAGUGCGGUUUGAGCUGCGUGCUCCACUGGGAUAGAGAGCUCGGUCUUUUGUCGUUUUCCUAUUCCUGGGUUAUCCUUGUUAAAUGUUUGUUUAUGCUGAGUUAACCCGAGCUGUGAGCACGGUCCUUUGCCUUCGUUUAUCCUUUUAUGUGUUUCUGCAUUCGUGGGCCUUUUCAUAGAGGGAGCUUGGUUCUCUGUUAUUUCUUCUGUACUUAUCUUUAUUCAUGUCGCGAGUUCAUCCGAGCUGGGAGCUCGGUUUUUUGCUUUUUGCUUAGGCUUUUAUGCUGGUAGCCUGUGACGCUGUCUGUAUCGCGAGCUCGGGAGUUCGAAAUUUCACUUUCUUCACUUUGGUGUCCCGAGCUCCUUUGUGAAGUCGAACUUAAUCUCUUGUUUUCUUGUCGAGCCUUAUAUGGGCUAUGUCUCAGUCUGACUGCUUAUUUGUUUGGCUUCAGCUUUUCUUUUAUAAACUUGUAGCCUCACCUUAAUUCGGUCUGCCUAUUGGAUUUACCAGUACCGAGCUCAUUUUCUUAAGAUCGGCAUGGUGCUUUGGCGCUUUGGCACCGCGAGCCUUGUAUUGGCCGUUAGUAGGUCGUAUUGCUACAUGAUACGGACGUUGGGGCGCCUUAGUGUAAUUUCGUUAUAUGCUGGCCAUUUUGCGAGAUCUAGGUCUUAUUAGCCGAAAUCCGAGCUCUUAUAAGAGGUCGGAUUCAAACUCUUUUAUUUAUAUUCUAGCACCCUCUUGAGGUCAGCAUGGCAUUUUGGCGCUUUUGGCUAUUGUGUGAGAUCAAAGUCUCUUUACUUUAUGACUCGAGCUCCUUUGGGAGGUCGGAGUUUAGAUUUUCAUUUAGGGUCUCGUGCCCCAAUCUUUUAUGUGAGGUCGGAACUAUGUUCUUAUGAGUUAAUUUUGCAUGUUGUCAUUGUAUACUGCUGUUUGCUGUGAGCAUACGACGCCGGAGAAUUCUUUGGGGAUCUCGGCCUUUGUCGCUCCGGGAGAUCUUUGAGAUCUUCGCCGGCCGUUUUUGCUCCGGGGAGAUCUUGGAGAUCCCGCCGACUGUUUUUGCUCCAGGAGAUCUUACGGGANNNNNNNNNNNNNNNNNNNNNNNNNNNNNNNNNNNNNNNNNNNNNNNNNNNNNNNNNNNNNNNNNNNNNNNNNNNNNNNNNNNNNNNNNNNNNNNNNNNNNNNNNNNNNNNNNNNNNNNNNNNNNNNNNNNNNNNNNNNNNNNNNNNNNNNNNNNNNNNNNNNNNNNNNNNNNNNNNNNNNNNNNNNNNNNNNNNNNNNNNNNNNNNNNNNNNCUCGCCGGCCGUUUUUUGCUCCAGGAGAUCUUACGGAAUCCUGGCCGUUUUUGCUCCAGAAGAUCUUACGGGAUCCUGGCCGUUUUUGCUCCGGGGAGAUCUUAGUGAUCCCACCGGCCGUUUUUGCUCCAGGAGAUCUUACGAGAUCCUGGUCUUCUACCUCCAGGAGGUCUUUAUGUCUCAAGGAGGUCUUCUGACAUCUGUUCUUUUCUUUUCCUGAGAGAGUUAAUACUCACAAUAAUAGAGAUAAUCAUUGCAUUAUUAUAAGAUAGUGUUAUUCAUGUUUUCAUAGUACAAGAAUUUCUUUUCACAAAUAUUCUAAGGAAAGUACCUCUUCCACUUCACCAGCUUAUUCAACCUUUUGUUCCUCCAACGAUCAUGUUGAUGGUUCCACUGGACCCAUCAUUCACUGGCUUUGCUCCCAUUCUCCUGAGUGUCUGCGCUGCUGGGUUCGGCUGAGACCUUUGUCCUUCUGGUUUCUUUAUAAAGUUCUUGAGGUGUCCCCCUCUUUAUCAGCCUCUCGAUCUCCGCAAUCAACUGGAAGCAGUUAUUGGUGUCGUGGCCGUGCGUGCGAUGGUACUGACAAUAUUUAUCAGGAUCUCGCUAGUUUGCUUCCGUUUUUAUCGGCCUGGGCCAUUGGAGGAACUCCUUAUCCUGGAUGGCCAUGAGCACUUCGGCUUUAGAGGCAUUGAGAGGGGUCAGCUUCUCUGGAACCCACGGAGGGAGUAGCCUCUGUUCUGAGACCCGAGGAGGGAGAGGUCUUUGGUCCCUUCGCUCCCAGGGUUGUCUGUAAGGCUCAGGCCUCUUGCCAUGCUUUUUCUCGUGCCUCUCCGGCCGCCCUGCCUCCGGUGCUUUCUCUUUAUAUGUCACUCCCCUAGCGAACCUGCUUGUCACCAAGGCAUCAUCCUGCCUUAUGUAUUUUUCAGCCCGCUUCAUCAGCUCGGCCAGUGAGGUCGGAGGCUUCCUGCUCAAUGAGCCAAAGAACUCGGCAGAGGUCGUCCCCUUCUGCAUGGCUUCCACUGCCCUUCCCUCAUCGAGUUCAGGAAUCUGUAGGGCCUCCGUAUUGAAACGGGCGACGUACUCCCUGAGCGAUUCGUCUCUCCUCUGCCUGAUCGUCUCCAAGUAGCUUGUCUUUCUAUCUGCAGGCACCCCGGCGAUAAAUCGGCUGGUGAAGCGAGUGGCCAGAUCUCCAAAGCUGCUGAUACUUCCGGCCUCAAGGUUAUUAAACCACGCCCGCGCUGGCCCCGAGAGUGUCAUUGGGAAUACCUUGCACAUCAAGGCAUCUGACAAGGUCUGCAGCUCCAUGAAAGUUUUGUAGUUCAAGACGUGCUCCCGGGGGUUUCCAGCUCUGUCAUAGGCCGCCAUAGGUGGCAUCAUAAAUUUCUUCGGGACGGUCUCCUGCUGUACCCACGUUGAGAAGGGUGAAGAGAUAGGCAGAAGAGUUUGGCUGGGGUCCUUCGCCCCUAACUCAGCCAAAAGUUGUUCUCUCAUCGUCUGCAGCUUUUGGUCUACGCUUUCUUCUUCCUGCCUGGGCCUCUUCUCUGCGCGACCUUCCUCCUCCUAUGUCUCGCUCCCCGCUCUUCCGGUGGUUCCGGCGGAAUAGCUAUCAACUUCAUCAUUCUCUAUCAGCUCCCUCACCCUCCUUCCAUGAACCCGAGCUUCCGACUCUUCCUCUUCUCCGGCUCUUCUCCUCCCGUCUCCGGUUUCUUGGCUGACAGUUCGGGGAUGGUUGAAGGUAGGCUGAGGUUCGUUGGUCCGGGGCUCUUCCACCACCGGCAACACCUGUACUGGGGUGCUGAGGUCCCGUUGCUGCAUUAUCUGCCCCAGCCAGUGGGCGGUGUUUUGUAACUGGAGAGCGAUGGUUUGGAGGUCCUGGUUGGACAAGGAAGCGGUGGAUACAUUCCCCGUCGGGCUUGGCGAGGGGUUGAAAGGAAUAGGUGGUUGAUUGUUUGGAGUUGUAGGACUGGAAAAGGAGAACUGUUGCCCCUCUUGGGCAGAGCUCAGGUCAUUUGGAGUGUUAAGAUUGUUGUUUUCAUUCUGAUUAGCCAUCGUGGAUCUCAGUGGGUUUGUUUAGAGUGGAACUCCGGUGAUGAAAAGAUCUCCUUCGUCCCCACAGACGGCGCCACUUGAUGAUCUGAGAUCCAGAAAAUAGAGUUUUACAAUGGGUUCUGUAAAACUGGAAAAAAACUUAGACCUAGAGGAGAGUAUUUCUCCUUUUAUAUGUUUUCUUUUGUCUGCUAGUGACGUGUAACAGAAUGUACGUCAUUGGGCCACCUGUCCCUGUCACGUUGAUAUGGACGUACGAGGAAAUCAGAUCACUGCCCCAUGCGUAACGGCCUCUGAUUCUCCCCGGGCACGCAUGCGGAUGGUCCCACAAGGCGAAUGGGCUGAACUCCUUCCUGGUUCCGAGCUGGGCCGAAAGAUAAGGUUAAGACUAGGUCCAGAGGGAAUCUGUUCAUUGGGCCGAAAGAGCUGGGCCAGCCUUAUUAAAGAAUCUGACUGGAGUCCGGUCUUUGAGCGGAGCGGGCUGGACCUGGCUCUUGGAGGAGACUUAGAAGCCUUCAGAUUAUGGGCUGUCCUAAUGAGCCUGACCUUAGACCGGGGCGAAGAAAUCCAGCGGUCAUCACAGCCCAUUUUAGCUUCUCUUGAAUUGAUACAGUAGAUUCUUGGAUGUGACCAACCUAGACAUCCAUUGGUAUAAAGUUAGAAAAAGAAUGCUCACACCUAGAGAUUUAACAGCAAUUCUUUAGUAGUAAUAAUAACAACCACCACCGAAACAGCUAGGAGAUUAGAAGACAGGUUUUACCAAUAUAGUAUAAUAUGCUGUAUUAGUAACUCCAUCACAAUAGAUUAGGUAAACCUAACAAAUUGCAUAAGAGACAAAAUGUAACUUGCAAUAUGAAAUCAAAGUAAUCUAACACGUAUUUGGCAUUAUUUGACAUGUCAAACAUUCAGGUCAGACAAACAUUAUGGUUUCUAUAGGCAGAACUUUGCUUGUAAUCAGCUGUUGCAACUAGGCAUACAAUAACCUGAGGUAAGAAAAUAGGGAGAUACUACUUGAACCAGAGAUCUUACCAGUUUGAUAGUGUUUGUUACAACAUAUUGCCAAGUCAUCCAUGUCUCAGAUCCCUCCCAGCUGCAAAUUGGACCUGUAUAUCACAAAACACUAGAAAGUUUCAAUAUGCUAAAAUGGGGAGACAAGGGGAUAAUGCAACACGAGCAAUAUGAAUACAAAUUCACAGCAUUCACAGACCUCAAAACACCAUACAACUGAUCCAACUUUACUCAAACUAUUCCCCAAAUAAUGGGAGGGGGAAAAUAAUCAGGCAACAACCAGUAUCUUCCUCACUAUUUUUCUUAAUUAAUUAGUAUAAUAGUAUAAAUUCUAAACUUAACACCAAACCCUUCUCAGUGAAAAAAAAAAAAAAAGUUGAAGAUGGAUCAGGGAAAAAGGAAAAUUUAAUCUUGGUCCAUAAAAGUUAAUUUAAAAACACUCUAACCUUAAAUAAUUAUAAUAAUAAUAACAAAGAAAUGUUUUGUUGACUUCAUUAAUUUUUUUUAAUUUUUUUCCUUUGUUAAUUUUCCCUAGUUCAUGUAGAAAAAGUUUCCCAAGUUUUUAAACAAUUAAAAGAGAUCUUCAAAUGGUAUAGGAUUGAUACACAUAAAUAGCCUUAAAAAAGAGCACAAAAUCAGUUUCGGCUUCUUAAUUCUAUCACUAAUUAAAUCUCCAAAGCUUGGUAAUUUGUUGUUUCCCCUUCAACUUGAAGAAGUACUUUUCAUGUGUAAACAUCUUUCCUAUCUAAGCAUAGAUUUCCCCUCCCCUGCCACCUCCAAGCUGAGACUUCAGGUAUAGCCAAAGCAAACUUCCUGGAAAAUCAGAGGGAGAGUAGAGCACCAUGCAUUACACGUGCUCUUAGGAAGCAUAACUGGUCAAAAUUCAAAUUCCAUGCGAGUCUUCAAAAAAAGUCCAUAAUAUUAUAUAUAUAGAGAGAGAGAGAGAGAUUGAUUAUUAUAAAUUUGACUUUGUAUAAAAAUUAAUUUAACAGUUUUUAUGUUAACUAUAUAUCAAAAAUUGUAUACUUAUUUAUUUGAAUUGCAUAUAUUGUACGAAUCUUAAAAUAUAAAUAUUAUUUAAGAUUUGUUUAUAUAUAAUAAACUUAUAUUGAAAUAUAUUUAUAAUUCCAAAUCAAAAUAUCAAGAUUCAGCUUAGAGAGAAAAUAGGGGAAAGCACACAAAAAACAGAGUAAACAACCAAUGAAACAUUUUAGACCCAUUUAUAUUCUAUGUUCAGAAGCUGCAUAUAGUUGUAAUUGGAAUGAUAAAAACAAUAAAAGAUGCUCUAUUCUUCAUGUUCUUUAUGCAAAAGGAAUAUGUGAUUAUCUGUGUCAACUCUUCAAGUAAUAGGAAAUAUGGAAAAGAAAAACUUCCCAUUCUCCCUAAAUAUUUUAACAUAUACUAUUCACUUUAAUUAAAAAAAUAAGCAUAAAGUACUCAUUUUGUUAAUGGCGCACAUUAUAGAUUGAUUAAUUAAUUACACUAUCAUAUGAGGAUAUUUAAUUUAUUCAGCUACCGGGAAGAAUUAUUUCAAACUUGUGAUGUUCUGUCAACACAUGGAGACCUGAUCCUGAACCUAACACCCCAUGACUCAUCAAGUGAUUAAUAAUUAAAUAUUUAUUAAUUAAAAAUACUUUAUUACACCACGUGGGGAGGAGUUCAUCAGGAAUGCAACUUCAUGGAAAGAACACAGAAAUAUUUGGAAAAAAAAGAGAGUAGAAAGCUUCUGUAAAUCUAUGUGUAUAUAUAUAUAUAAUCAAUCACCAUCACAAUCCACAAGCCAAAAUCAUACAGUACAGGCACAAAACCUUACUCAAUUAAAGCAGCCAGUGACAUGUUCAACCAAAUGUGGAGUGGAAAUAAUACCUCGGAUUUUGAUGAUUUCGCUCUCUUGGACUCGAUUCAACAGUAUCUUCUUGAUGAUAAUAAUUUCGAAACACUAACAAGUAUCCCACCGGUUAAUUCAUGCGACGAAUCAAGCUUUUCUAGUCUCCUCUUCACUGAUACCUGCAGUGAUUUUCCAAUCAAGGUAAACGAUUCAGGUGACAUGAGCAUUUUCAGUUCACUAUCUGAUGAAAGGAGCAUUAUUGGAUGGAGUCAAUUAAAUCAAUUUGAUUCGACGGCCACGGAAACAACAACGACAACGACCAUCAAACGGGAGGAUCUUGAUGCAGUUGCUAGUCCGGAGGGUGUGGCCACUACUCCAAAAGUUGUGGCUGCGCGUAAGAAUAACGGAGAGUGUAAAGGAUGGCAGUACAAAGGUGUGAGGAGAAGGCCAUGGGGGAAGUAUGCGGCGGAGAUAAGAGACCCGAAGAAAAAUGGUGCUAGAGUUUGGCUUGGAACUUACGAGACACCUGAGGAUGCGGCUCUGGCAUACGACCAAGCAGCUUUUCAGCUACGCGGCUCAAAAGCUAAGCUAAAUUUUCCUCACCUCAUCGGCUCUAGUGAUUACCGGGCUCCAGUGAGAGUAAGCCCCAAGCGGCGAUCACCGGAUCCCACCACAAUGUUGGAGGGUAGCUCGCCUAAGCGGGCAAAAUGAGGGACUAAAAUAUAUAUCUGUGGACUGUAUAUCC
RNAcentral lists this long non-coding RNA (12816 nucleotides) under Manihot esculenta (cassava). Its description in RNAcentral is "long non-coding RNA (MESC_LNC002666)". The record is from RNAcentral. Lineage: Eukaryota; Viridiplantae; Streptophyta; Magnoliopsida; Malpighiales; Euphorbiaceae.